GGACACCAAUAUUGGAAUUGGUGGAGAGGUGGAAUAUUGCGUAGGGGGGCCAGCCCUCCCCCCUCCCGUGUGAUGCUGGGACCCAACGGGUCCCACUUAGUCUAGUCUUAUAUAAAAACUGACUGC
Molecule: long non-coding RNA, 126 nt
Organism: Amblyraja radiata (thorny skate)
Lineage: Eukaryota; Metazoa; Chordata; Chondrichthyes; Rajiformes; Rajidae
Exons: 3
Source: RefSeq, a predicted model, not a curated record